CCUACUCCCUGUGUGCCUUGCCUCCACGACUCGGCCGCGUCGACGGGGGCCCGCACAAGCGGUGGAGCAUGUGGUUUAAUUCGAAGCAACGCGAAGAACCUUACCAGGUCUUGACAUCCCUCUGACCGCUCUAGAGAUAGAGUUUUCCUUCGGGACAGAGGUGACAGGUGGUGCAUGGUUGUCGUCAGCUCGUGUCGUGAGGUGUCGGCUUAAGUGCCAUAACGAGCGCAACCCUUGCUGUCAGUUACUAAC
This 252-nucleotide ribosomal RNA is filed under the name uncultured bacterium. Its description in RNAcentral is "partial 16S ribosomal RNA". The stretch from base 40 to 252 matches the Rfam family "Bacterial small subunit ribosomal RNA", at positions 910 to 1122 of the family's 1533-position model. The record is from RNAcentral.